RNAcentral lists this ribosomal RNA (715 nucleotides) under Bacillus cereus. Its description in RNAcentral is "bacterial SSU rRNA". It matches the Rfam family "Bacterial small subunit ribosomal RNA", at positions 56 to 752 of the family's 1533-position model. The record is from RNAcentral. Lineage: Bacteria; Bacillati; Bacillota; Bacilli; Caryophanales; Bacillaceae.
UGCAGUCGAGCGAAUGGAUUAAGAGCUUGCUCUUAUGAAGUUAGCGGCGGACGGGUGAGUAACACGUGGGUAACCUGCCCAUAAGACUGGGAUAACUCCGGGAAACCGGGGCUAAUACCGGAUAACAUUUUGAACUGCAUGGUUCGAAAUUGAAAGGCGGCUUCGGCUGUCACUUAUGGAUGGACCCGCGUCGCAUUAGCUAGUUGGUGAGGUAACGGCUCACCAAGGCAACGAUGCGUAGCCGACCUGAGAGGGUGAUCGGCCACACUGGGACUGAGACACGGCCCAGACUCCUACGGGAGGCAGCAGUAGGGAAUCUUCCGCAAUGGACGAAAGUCUGACGGAGCAACGCCGCGUGAGUGAUGAAGGCUUUCGGGUCGUAAAACUCUGUUGUUAGGGAAGAACAAGUGCUAGUUGAAUAAGCUGGCACCUUGACGGUACCUAACCAGAAAGCCACGGCUAACUACGUGCCAGCAGCCGCGGUAAUACGUAGGUGGCAAGCGUUAUCCGGAAUUAUUGGGCGUAAAGCGCGCGCAGGUGGUUUCUUAAGUCUGAUGUGAAAGCCCACGGCUCAACCGUGGAGGGUCAUUGGAAACUGGGAGACUUGAGUGCAGAAGAGGAAAGUGGAAUUCCAUGUGUAGCGGUGAAAUGCGUAGAGAUAUGGAGGAACACCAGUGGCGAAGGCGACUUUCUGGUCUGUAACUGACACUGAGGC